Molecule: ribosomal RNA, 1182 nt
Filed under: Wigglesworthia glossinidia endosymbiont of Glossina tachinoides
Lineage: Bacteria; Pseudomonadati; Pseudomonadota; Gammaproteobacteria; Enterobacterales; Erwiniaceae
Description: bacterial SSU rRNA
Rfam family: Bacterial small subunit ribosomal RNA
Source: RNAcentral
UCGUGCGGCAUCGUGAAGGAUUUUCUUCGACGGCGAGCGGCGGACGGGUGAGUAAUAUCUGGGGAUCUGCCUAAAAGAGGGGGACAACUACUGGAAACGGUAGCUAAUACCGCAUGAUAUCAACUGAUUAAAGCAGGGGACUAAAAUUAAAAUAUUUAUAUUUUAAUAAAGCCUUGCGCUUUUAGAUGAACCCAGACGAGAUUAGCUAGUAGGUGAGGUAAAGGCUCACCUAGGCGACGAUCUCUAGCUGGUCUGAGAGGACGGCCAGCCACACUGGAACGUAGACACGGUCCAGACUCCUACGGGAGGCAGCAGUGGGGAAUAUUGCACAAUGGGGGAAACCCUGAUGCAGCUAUGCCGCGUGUGUGAAGAAGGUCUUCGGAUCGUAAAGCACUUUCAGCAAGGAAGAAAGCAAAUAUGCUAAUAUCAUAUUUGUGCGACGUUACUUGCAGAAGAAGCACCGGCUAACUCCGUGCCAGCAGCCGCGGUAAUACGGAGGGUGCGAGCGUUAAUCGGAAUUACUGGGCGUAAAGCGUACGCAGGCGGUUUAUUAAGUCAGAUGUGAAAUCCCUGGGCUUAACCUAGGAACUGCAUUUGAAACUAAUACACUAGAGUAUCGUAGAGGGAGGUAGAAUUCCAGGUGUAGCGGUGAAAUGCGUAGAUAUCUGGAGGAAUACCAGUGGCGAAGCGACCUCCUGGACGAUAACUGACGCUCAGGUACGAAAGCGUGGGGAGCAAACAGGAUUAGAUACCCUGGUAGUCCAUGCCGUAAACGAUGUCGAUUUGAAGGUCGUAGAUUUAUCUGUGAUUUUCGGAGCUAACGUGUUAAAUCGACCGCCUGGGGAGUACAACCGCAAGGUUAAAACUCAAAUGAAUUGACGGGGGCCGCACAAGCGGUGGAGCAUGUGGUUUAAUUCGAUGCAACGCGAAAAACCUUACCUACUCUUGACAUUUAGAGAAUUUAGCAGAGAUGCUUCAGUGCUUCGGGAACUCUAAAACAGGUGCUGCAUGGCUGUCGUCAGCUCGUGUUGUAAAUGUUGGGUUAAGUCCCGCAACGAGCGCAACCCUUAUCCUUUUUUGCCAGCGAAUAAAGUCGGGAACUCAAAGGAGACUGCCGGUGACAAACCGGAGGAAGGUGGGGACGACGUCAAGUCAUCAUGGCCCUUACGAGUAGGGCUACAG